CGGGCCCGCCCAAGUGUUGCUGGGAAAUUUCGCCCCUUUAAAAGUUUUNGAUNCCUUGGCUCAAGAUUUGAANCGCCUGGCGGCAUGCCUUUAAAANAUGCAANNUCGAACGGCAGGCGCGGGGCAACCUUGGCGCCNANUGCCAACCGGUUAAUUAUUANNUGGAAACGUACCCAGAAGUGGGGGAUAACGUAGCGAAAGUUACGCUAAUACCGCAUACGUUCUACGGAAGAAAGUGGGGGAUCUUCGGACCUCAUGCUUUUGGAGCGGCCGAUGUCUGAUUAGCUAGUUGGUGAGGUAAAGGCUCACCAAGGCGACGAUCAGUAGCUGGUUUNAGAGGACGACCAGCCACACUGGGACUGAGACACGGCCCAGACUCCUACGGGGGGCAGCAGA
Molecule: ribosomal RNA, 396 nt
Filed under: uncultured bacterium
Lineage: Bacteria
Description: partial 16S ribosomal RNA
Rfam family: Bacterial small subunit ribosomal RNA (bases 44-396)
Source: RNAcentral